This 1316-nucleotide long non-coding RNA is filed under the name Heterocephalus glaber (naked mole-rat). Its description in RNAcentral is "lncRNA (ENSHGLG00000033189.1)". The record is from RNAcentral. Lineage: Eukaryota; Metazoa; Chordata; Mammalia; Rodentia; Bathyergidae.
UACCUCAUGUUUGUGCCUUCCCGCAGGAGUAAAAAUUUGCCUUGUCAAGAACUCCUGUGCCUUGUCUGAGUGCAUUCUUUUGGACACAGAAAAUUUGAGUCUGGGGGCUUAUUUCCAACAGGAAUAUAUGUAAAGUGAGGUCUGUAACUUUCCACGGAGUCAUCUGGAGUGAGAAAUUGCAACUACAUAACCAGAACAGAGAGUGGACCUCUGCUGAAGACGUGCCCAGUCGUUUCCAUUGUUAAAAGAGAGUCUGGCUUGAAAUUGUUUUCAAUUUUUCAAAUAACAGGGAAAGAUUAACACUAAGGCAACUGCAUUUAAAAUGUAAAGUUGGGGAAUGGCUUAAAAUUUUAAAGCUACACUGUCAUUAAUUUUGCAAGAUGUCAGAGUUUAAAGGAAAAUACCAGUGAGAAGCCAUGGAACAGCCUCUGUAUAAUGAGGGAUGAAAGAAAAGGGGAAUGACAUUUAUUCCUCUCUGCCCUGUCACUUUGGCUUUACAUCAGUUGCUUAAGGGGUGGCACUGAAGCAUGUGACUGGUUUCAAAAGAGCCUUAAUAAUGAAAGAGAAAAGCGAUUCUUGCAUAUUAAAUGUACUGCAGAUUCAAUACACUGAAAAGGACAACAGGAAGAAGAAUAAUCAUAUUUUAUUGUGGGAAACAAACAAUUUUCACUUACUAUCCUAAAGUCAGCAUGGCAGAUGGCACGAGGCAGCAAGAUGGGCCUUGUGAACCCAGAGCUCUCUGAAUUCAGGGCAUAUUUCUACUGUGAAGGAAAGACAACAGCGGCGCUGACCAGCUGUGACUUCUCCAGACGGUCACGAAUGCCGCAGCCACAAGGAGGCUCAGGUAUUCCAAGUCCAGGCUCAGUGUUCUUUCCUUGUGCUGCAGUUGCUCAGUUUGGCCAAGUUUCUGUUUGUGAAGCUUUUUAGGAAAAGGAAAAAAAGUACUUCCAAAUGUGGUAAAUUACAUAUACUAAUUUAAGUAUAUAUAAAUAACUCAUUGCAUUUCAGAAGAAUGUUUUCCUUUUUUCAUUGUUGAAGUAAGGUAACUGUGAAGCUGAAACUCAGUGUAUUUCCAAACCCAAGUUAAUAAAUGUAAUAGUGAUUAGAGGUUCAUCUACUAGGUGUUCAAUAAACAGAGUUCACACUGUGUGACAACCUGGAAAAUGUAAUAUUUAUUUUUCACUUUUAAACAAAUUUAUUGAAGUUUAAUUUAUAUUCAAACAUCAUCCUAUUUUAAAGUGUAUAAUUCAUUGAGCAGAUAAAGAAUACUUCCUUUAUUUGGAGAGUUCCCUCAAGCCCUGUUACAGUUAAUUUUU